Molecule: ribosomal RNA, 253 nt
Filed under: uncultured bacterium
Lineage: Bacteria
Description: partial 16S ribosomal RNA
Rfam family: Bacterial small subunit ribosomal RNA
Source: RNAcentral
UACAGAGGUCUCAAGCGUUGUUCGGAUUCAUUGGGCGUAAAGGGUGCGUAGGCGGCUUUGUAAGUCAGUGGUGAAAUACGGUAGCUUAACUAUCGAGGUGCCAUUGAUACUGCAGAGCUUGAGUACAGAUGAGGUAGGCGGAAUUGACGGUGUAGCGGUGAAAUGCUUAGAUAUCGUCAAGAACACCGAUAGUGAAGACAGCUUACUAGACUUCAACUGACGCUGAGGCACGAAAGUGUGGGGAUCAAACAGG